This 89-nucleotide transfer RNA is filed under the name Pseudomonadota bacterium. Its description in RNAcentral is "tRNA-Leu". It matches the Rfam family "tRNA". Rfam says of the family: Transfer RNA (tRNA) molecules are approximately 80 nucleotides in length. Their secondary structure includes four short double-helical elements and three loops (D, anti-codon, and T loops). RNAcentral also lists the same sequence under 2 other names. The record is from RNAcentral. Lineage: Bacteria; Pseudomonadati; Pseudomonadota.
GCCCAGGUGGCGUAACCGGCAGCCGCUGGAGACUUAAACUCUCCUGGCCCGCCAGGGCCGUGUGGGUUCGACUCCCACCCUGGGCACCA